RNAcentral lists this ribosomal RNA (254 nucleotides) under uncultured bacterium. Its description in RNAcentral is "partial 16S ribosomal RNA". It matches the Rfam family "Bacterial small subunit ribosomal RNA", at positions 524 to 776 of the family's 1533-position model. The record is from RNAcentral.
UACGUAGGGUGCGAGCGCUGUCCGGAAUUAUUGGGCGUAAAGAGCUCGUAGGCGGUCUGUCGCGUCGGUCGUGAAAACCUGCAGCUUAACUGUGGGCGUGCGGUCGAUACGGGCAUGACUGGAGUUCGGCAGGGGAGACUGGAAUUCCUGGUGUAGCGGUGAAAUGCGCAGAUAUCAGGAGGAACACCGGUGGCGAAGGCGGGUCUCUGGGCCGAUACUGACGCUGAGGAGCGAAAGCGUGGGGAGCGAACAGG